Molecule: long non-coding RNA, 861 nt
Organism: Octopus bimaculoides (California two-spot octopus)
Lineage: Eukaryota; Metazoa; Mollusca; Cephalopoda; Octopoda; Octopodidae
Source: RefSeq, a predicted model, not a curated record
GAUUAAAGGUGUUUUCUGAAUGUAUUAAAUUAUAUUAGCGACUUUUAACUUAUGUCACCGGUAUCAGUGGAGCAGGAGAAAAUUGUCACAGACACCGCUUACCAUUUCAGUCUUGAAGCCAAUUACUAGCACGCGCAAAUUUUUCAGGAAAGCGGCUUAGUUAAACUUUAAAUCAGCAACACAGAUGAAUAUAAAAAGAUGGCAUUCUUUCGGUUGAGAUAAGACUCCCCUGAAUUACCGGAACAAACGCAAAAAUGCGUUGAAAUUGGUUGUUAUUGUUGUUAGAGAAGUGGAUUGACAGACUCGUUAGAGUGUCAGUUUGAAUGCUGUAGACAUUUUCAUUCUUACUCUCAGCACUCCCAGUUCAAAUCCCGCCGAGGUAAGCUUUGCCUUUCAUUCUUACCGAGUUGUUAAAAUAAAGUACUAGUCAAGUACUGGGAGAAUUGGUUCAAUCAAUUAACACUCAUCCAAAUUUCAAGUUUUAUACUGAGAAACAGUAUAUUUGUCAACGCAGUCAAAAACUUUUGGUCAGCGUUGUUAAAAAUAUAUUUCUCAUUUGAGGAAUUCAUUACGAAAAGUAAACAAACGUACGAUUAUUUUAUUUGAAAGUUUCAGAAGAGACAUUAAUGAAAGGAGACAUUUCUGUCCUAGGACAAGAAUAAAACAAUGACAAAACAAACAGCCCUAUAUGUGUACGUGUUAGAAAAUGUAAUGACAUAUAGCCAUCAACGAAACAUUCGAGUGCACGAUUAACCUACGUUGAAGUAUCUCCUUAUUCGUUUCUAUAAUUCAAGGAAUCCAAGUCUGAGAGUAGUUCUUAAUAAAUCAGGAUUGUUCACCGCAGAUUGUAAUGAAAGGAAA